RNAcentral lists this ribosomal RNA (448 nucleotides) under uncultured bacterium. RNAcentral describes it as "bacterial SSU rRNA". It matches the Rfam family "Bacterial small subunit ribosomal RNA", at positions 329 to 793 of the family's 1533-position model. The record is from RNAcentral.
UUCCAGACUCCUACGGGAGGCAGCAGUGGGGAAUAUUGCACAAUGGGGGAAACCCUGAUGCAGCGACGCCGCGUGAGCGAUGAAGUAUUUCGGUAUGUAAAGCCCUAUCAGCAGGGAAGAAAAUGACGGUACCUGACUAAGAAGCCCCGGCUAACUACGUGCCAGCAGCCGCGGUAAUACGUAGGGGGCAAGCGUUAUCCGGAUUUACUGGGUGUAAAGGGAGCGUAGACGGCGAUGCAAGUCUGAAGUGAAAGGCGGGGGCCCAACCCCCGGACUGCUUUGGAAACUGUAGAGCUAGAGUGCAGGAGAGGUAAGUGGAAUUCCUAGUGUAGCGGUGAAAUGCGUAGAUAUUAGGAGGAACACCAGUGGCGAAGGCGGCUUACUGGACUGUAACUGACGUUGAGGCUCGAAAGCGUGGGGAGCAAACAGGAUUAGAUACCCCAGUAUG